GGCUUCGGCCUGACCAAAAUUCAAGCUGCUAUACCUCUGGCUGCAUUGACUUGUGGUCAGAGUGUAUGGUGAUCAUAGCAAUUGCAAGUAUUGGGCUCGAUAAAUCCUUUGAAGACGACUUAAUUGCAUCCGGGUAUUGUAAGUGUUGAGAGUAGGCUUAGUCUUACGAUCCACUGAGAUUCAUCCCGUGUUGCGCCGAUUUGU
Molecule: non-coding RNA, 204 nt
Filed under: Perkinsus marinus ATCC 50983
Lineage: Eukaryota; Perkinsozoa; Perkinsida; Perkinsidae
Description: Eukaryotic large subunit ribosomal RNA
Rfam family: Eukaryotic large subunit ribosomal RNA
Source: Rfam by way of RNAcentral